GUAGUUAUCUUCCAAGAGAGGGAUAUUUGGCUCUUUACCGUUUGUUGUAAAUUGAAAAGGUUCUGAUUCCAUUUUUCUUUGAAAUGUGCUGGUGCGCUGAAUUGUUCUUUUAUGAUACACGUUACUGCCAAUAAUGGCUCAGCCCCCUUUUGUAGCCUUCACUUCUCAUUUUCUUUCUCUGCACCGAUCGACUGAUCAAUUGAUACCUAGUGUCUUCGUAGCUGGCCGGUCGUCAAAGUGCCUGGCCUACACUGCUGAUUCAGACGACGAUUAUGCAUGCUAAACAAGUAAAAAAAAAAGAAGGUAACCUUCAAAACUGAUGCAGCAACAAUUUAAACAUGAUCAGUAAAUACUAUCUGAUGCAAAUAUGUAAUUCGAGCUAGCAGGCCCUCCAAUGGAAUCGUGUGCCCAUACAUUGUGUGUGUACAAAGUGCAAACGCGGACGACACAACAUUCUCCUGAUGACAUGCACGCACAGUAUAGGAGAUCGAUUUGGCGCUGGAUCGGAUAUUGCUU
This 516-nucleotide long non-coding RNA is filed under the name Setaria italica (foxtail millet). Its description in RNAcentral is "long non-coding RNA (SITA_LNC004851)". Lineage: Eukaryota; Viridiplantae; Streptophyta; Magnoliopsida; Poales; Poaceae. The record is from RNAcentral.